AGAAAAAUGCUGAUUUAAAUUUAAGGAGCAUUUAAUUCACUCCCGAGGAAAGGACGUUUCUUCUCAUCACUGUGGAGUCGGACUUUGACACCUGGAACUGUGCAGCUAUCUGGUGAAGCUGGUGAGAGAUGGGAGGAUGGAAAAAUGAAGAGGCUUUGAAUCCUCGCUGACACUGAUGAACUGCUGCCUCAACCAGCCCUGGCACCUGAAUUGCCUUUGCGCUGCCAGAUAUUAUAGACCCUUAUGGCUGGGAAUCUGUGUUACUUGAAGGCUCCCUACCCGCCUUCCUCAUGUGGACUUGAACUUAUGAAACCAUAGAGUAAAGCAGCGCUGGCAUUAGCAAACAGAGUGCCUUCCAAAGAGCAGAUAUAACUGUUUUAGGUAUUAUGUAUUCAUCCAAGCUUGAAACACCAAGAGCACAUUGAGUGAUCUGAGUCCCGAAGCAAGAAAAAUCAAUUUUAUUUAAACUACAACCAACAGUAUCUCCCGUGCUCCUCACAGCGAAGAAAUCACUCUUCCUUUAUUCUUAAAAGAGGGAGCAGGAAAGGACACCCAGUGAAAAUGAAGUACUUUUCUUACGUUCCCAAUAUAAUGCUGCAAGAGUGAAGUCAUCACCCUUGGAUUGCAUGUUAACUUCAGG
Molecule: long non-coding RNA, 640 nt
Organism: Myotis myotis
Lineage: Eukaryota; Metazoa; Chordata; Mammalia; Chiroptera; Vespertilionidae
Exons: 3
Source: RefSeq, a predicted model, not a curated record